CCUACGGGCGGCAGCAGUGGGGAAUAUUGGACAAUGGGGGCAACCCUGAUCCAGCCAUGCCGCGUGUGUGAAGAAGGCCAUCGGGUUGUAAAGCACUUUCAGUGAGGAAGAACGCCUGGUGGUUAAUACCCAUCAGGAAAGACAUCACUCACAGAAGAAGCACCGGCUAACUCCGUGCCAGCAGCCGCGGUAAUACGGAGGGUGCGAGCGUUAAUCGGAAUUACUGGGCGUAAAGCGCGCGUAGGUGGCUUGAUAAGCCGGUUGUGAAAGCCCCGGGCUCAACCUGGGAACGGCAUCCGGAACUGUCAAGCUAGAGUGCAGGAGAGGAAGGUAGAAUUCCCGGUGUAGCGGUGAAAUGCGUAGAGAUCGGGAGGAAUACCAGUGGCGAAGGCGGCCUUCUGGACUGACACUGACACUGAGGUGCGAAAGCGUGGGUAGCAAACAGGAUUAGAUACCCCAGUAGUC
This 465-nucleotide ribosomal RNA is filed under the name Vreelandella stevensii. Its description in RNAcentral is "partial 16S ribosomal RNA". It matches the Rfam family "Bacterial small subunit ribosomal RNA", at positions 338 to 795 of the family's 1533-position model. Lineage: Bacteria; Pseudomonadati; Pseudomonadota; Gammaproteobacteria; Oceanospirillales; Halomonadaceae. The record is from RNAcentral.